GUGUGUGAGUGGCAGUCCCCCAGUGAGGGUCAGUGUGUGUGUGAGAGACACGCCCCCAGUGAGGGUCAGUGUGUGUGAGAGACACGCCCCCAGUGAGGGUCAGUGUGUGUGAGUGGCAGUCCCCCAGUGAGGGUCAGUGUGUGUGAGUGGCAGUCCCCCAGUGAGGGUCAGUGUGUGUGAGUGGCAGUCCCCCAGUGAGGGUCAGUGUGUGUGAGUGGCAGUCCCCCAGUGAGGGUCAGUGUGUGUGAGUGGCAGUCCCCCAGUGAGGGUCAGUGUGUGUGAGUGGCAGUCCCCCAGUGAGGGCAGCAUAUAUGACGUGUGUCUGUCUUUCCCCCAGUGAGGGCCAGGGUUGCAGUGGGAGGAUGUUGUCUGGGACGUGGACAGUUGCUCUCCUUCCCACUGAUGCUGCUAUUCGUGCCCCAAAGUCUGUGUAGCAGCAGUGUUGGGACAAAUCCAGCAUUCCUAUUGGGAAUGCUUGGCUGAUUCUUUGGUCAGUGGGGCAGGGCCCAGAUCUCACUACUAUCUGGUUGGAACACGGUCGAGCCUCCCCCCCUCCCCCCGAGUGUGGGGUUCCAGAGGGUGGGUUUGCCAUUGGCCCUCACUGAGGGAUGGCCCCACAAAAAAAAUCGGGUGGAGGUGAAUGAGGUAGGAUGAGUGGAUGAUCGGGCAGUGAGGUUGGACACCCAUGCGUGAAUGGUUGGUGAGAGGGUGAAUACUGGUGAGAUUGGUCGGACAGUUACUCUGCCAACAGUUCUCCCUGGAACUGAGGGAAGAGGUCUGGACCCGUGUCUGUACCCACUUGUUUUCAUUAAAGUUGGACGGGAGCCCAGUGCA
This is a long non-coding RNA of Hypanus sabinus (Atlantic stingray), 834 nucleotides long. RefSeq lists it as uncharacterized. NCBI's taxonomy places the organism in Eukaryota, Metazoa, Chordata, Chondrichthyes, Myliobatiformes, Dasyatidae. The transcript is spliced from 3 exons. The record is from RefSeq and is a predicted model, not a curated record.